UGGGGAAUUUUGGACAAUGGGCGAAAGCCUGAUCCAGCAAUGCCGCGUGUGUGAAGAAGGCCUUCGGGUUGUAAAGCACUUUUGUCCGGAAAGAAAUCCUCUGGGUUAAUACCUCGGGGGGAUGACGGUACCGGAAGAAUAAGCACCGGCUAACUACGUGCCAGCAGCCNCGGUAAUACGUAGGGUGCAAGCGUUAAUCGGAAUUACUGGGCGUAAAGCGUGCGCAGGCGGUUUUGUAAGACGGAUGUGAAAUCCCCGGGCUUAACCUGGGAACUGCAUUCGUGACUGCAAGGCUAGAGUAUGGCAGAGGGGGGUAGAAUUCCACGUGUAGCAGUGAAAUGCGUAGAGAUGUGGAGGAAUACCGAUGGCGAAGGCAGCCCCCUGGGCCAAAUACUGACGCUCAUGCACGAAAGCGUGGGGAGCAAACAGGAUUAGAUACCCUGGUAGUCCACGCCCUAAACGAUGUCAACUAGUUGUUGGGGAUUCAUUUCCUUAGUAACGUAGCUAACGCGUGAAGUUGACCGCCU
RNAcentral lists this ribosomal RNA (527 nucleotides) under uncultured bacterium. RNAcentral describes it as "partial 16S ribosomal RNA". It matches the Rfam family "Bacterial small subunit ribosomal RNA", at positions 355 to 874 of the family's 1533-position model. The record is from RNAcentral.